RNAcentral lists this long non-coding RNA (675 nucleotides) under Brassica napus (rape). RNAcentral describes it as "long non-coding RNA (BNAP_LNC010475)". The record is from RNAcentral. Lineage: Eukaryota; Viridiplantae; Streptophyta; Magnoliopsida; Brassicales; Brassicaceae.
UGCGUUGUGGCUGGAUUCAGAUUCAUCUGAAAGAAGAGAAGUUUUGAAGGAAUUAAUAUGGAAUUGAAGACGAAAUUGUGGUUGGAAUACGUUUGUUCACCUUCUAAUAUUUUUACUUUCAGACGACAAUAUGUUUGAUGAAGGAGAAGCUAAAAGAACGAUGAUGACUAUUGGUAUUUGAAGAACAUGUCUUUGGGCUGCUAUGGAUUGGGUUUAGGUUAAUAUUACGUAAGACCAUUAAAGAAACUCUAAAUAUUUUUUACUUGUGGGACCCAUAUGUGCUGAGGUGGACAGCUUUAGGAGAAAACAAAAUAUCCUAUUAUAAUAUAGACUAGCGCUGAGUCUUUAUUAAUAGUUUAGUUUAGUUUUAACUUUCAAAACAAUUAUUUAAUUAAUUUAUACAAUUUUUUUUAUCUGAAAUAGGAUUUUAUUUUAUUUUUUUAUUUAUGUUUAUUUAUAACUAUACCCUCUUAUUAGCUAUUAGCUAUUUGUUUUUAUAAAUGUAGUAAUUAUGUUUUUAAAAAUAUUCACAAUUUUGAAAAAUGUUAAUUUGUAUUUAAAAUAUUAUAUAAAUUGCUUGAUGCAUGAAAACUGUAAAUACAUUAUAAUAUUUUAUCAAAUAUUUUACAUAUAUUAUAUCGUUUUAGUUUGUUGAUUAUAAUACUUAGAUAGUAU